CGAGUAUAGUGACCUACCUAAAUGAAGGACGUUUCACGUGGCGUCAUGAUUCGGUGCUUAACUUCAUAGCAUCCAUACUUAAAUCUGUGAACCAUUGUAACCUUUAUGCUGACCUUCCUGGCUAUAUCAGUCCAUCUGUUAUCACCGGAGAUGAAUUGCGCCCUGAUCUUUUAAUAACACUUCAAAACAAAUGUAUUUAUAUACUUGAACUUACCGUCGGAUUUGAAUCUAAUCUCCUCACUAAUGCAACUCGAAAAAGACAAAAAUAUCAAGAUCUAAUUAACGAACAGCUCAAAAAUUAUGACAAAGUGAAAUUUGUAAAUUUAUCGAUUAGCUCAUUAGGAGUUUUCAGCCACACGUCGCUAGAUUUCACCGAAAUGCUGAAGGAUCUAAAGUUUGAUGAACAAUGUAGAAAGUACUAUGUUCGGAAAAUUAUUAACAUAUGUAUCAGGUCCUCGUAUUAUAUAUUCUGUAAGCGUAACAAAGAAUGGGAGAACCCACAACUAAUG
Molecule: non-coding RNA, 509 nt
Organism: Paramuricea clavata
Lineage: Eukaryota; Metazoa; Cnidaria; Anthozoa; Malacalcyonacea; Plexauridae
Source: the annotation of a GenBank genome assembly